This 489-nucleotide long non-coding RNA is filed under the name Pan troglodytes (chimpanzee). RNAcentral's name for it is "long non-coding RNA NONPTRT002102". Lineage: Eukaryota; Metazoa; Chordata; Mammalia; Primates; Hominidae. The record is from RNAcentral.
AAGUUUUCCAGUGGCUCCAUAAUAUGUGAUAUCACAACAGAUUGAAUACAGAAACAGGUGCUGCACCUGUUCUAGGCAUUGAAUUUGAAACCUGUCUUUGCCACAUAUAACUAUAAAAUAUUUGGAAGAUUGCCUUCUAUAUGUGCUUAUACUCCAAGAUGGAAGAUUACCAAUAACAAAUGAAGCAUCCAUUAACUUCGAAUGAUCAGAUGCUAGGGAGUGAGGAAUUUUCAGGCCAAAAUGCACUGGGUUAUUGUCUCCUAUUGACAGUGUGAUAUUACAGAUAACCUCUAGGAGAUCCUGAACAUAUUCAGGCUAAACCAGGCAAACAAACAUUCAGGAUGUUACCAGUGUGGAAAACCCCUAGGAGAGACAGCCAAAAUUAAGACUGAUGGAGAAAUUUCCCCCAGCAAUACCACUUAAAAAUAUGCAUUUUUUACUUUAAUUGCCUGGUAUUAAGUUUUCUGCAGGAAUACAAAUAAAAUUGCU